RNAcentral lists this long non-coding RNA (320 nucleotides) under Populus trichocarpa (black cottonwood). RNAcentral describes it as "long non-coding RNA (PTRI_LNC001963)". The record is from RNAcentral. Lineage: Eukaryota; Viridiplantae; Streptophyta; Magnoliopsida; Malpighiales; Salicaceae.
GUGGAGAGCUAACAGGAACCGGAGCCGGUGGGGAGCUAACUGGAGUCACGGCUGGAGGUGGUGUAGCCAAUGGCGUCGCCACUGGAGUUGGAACAGUCUGUUUCGGUGAAGAUGCUACUGGUGUUACCGCCGGUGGUGAUGAUACGGGUGCUGGCGUUGUAGGUUUUGCAGGUGCUUUAGCAGGUGCAGCUAAUGGUACGGAAGGAGUUGUUGGAGUCGCCGGAGUUGAUGUCGGCGUCGCAGCCGGUGCUUGGCCACCGACACCGGCCACAAGGACGCAAAUCAGUGUCCAACCAAGGAUGCCAUUCCGAUCCAUUUUU